This 253-nucleotide ribosomal RNA is filed under the name uncultured bacterium. RNAcentral's name for it is "partial 16S ribosomal RNA". It matches the Rfam family "Bacterial small subunit ribosomal RNA", at positions 524 to 776 of the family's 1533-position model. The record is from RNAcentral.
UACGUAGGGUGCGAGCGUUGUCCGGAAUUAUUGGGCGUAAAGAGCUUGUAGGCGGUCUGUCGCGUCUGCUGUGAAAAUCCGGGGCUCAACCCCGGACUUGCAGUGGGUACGGGCAGACUAGAGUGUGGUAGGGGAGACUGGAAUUUCCGGUGGAGCGGUGAAAUGCAUUGAGAUCGGAAAGAACACCAACGGCGAAAGCACUCUGCUGGGCCGACACUGACACUGAGAGACGAAAGCUAGGGGAGCAAAUGGG